Long non-coding RNA from Mus musculus (house mouse), 7890 nucleotides. RefSeq annotates it as predicted gene, 36715. Lineage: Eukaryota; Metazoa; Chordata; Mammalia; Rodentia; Muridae. The transcript has 2 exons. The record is from RefSeq and is a predicted model, not a curated record.
GAAGCACACAGGUAACGGGAAACCAGCAAAGUAAGCCUUGAGAAGCACAGACGUAGACACCUGACUAGAGCUCAGGGCUGGAGUGGUGGCUUAGUGGUCAAGAGCACUGGCUGCUCCUGUAGAGCUCCAGAUUCCAUUCCCAGUAGUCACAGGGCAGCUCACGACCAUCCAUAACUCCAGUUCUGAAGGAUACUGCACCCUCUUCUGACCUGUGUACAUGCACAUGAUGCACAUAUAUACAUGCAGGCCAAACACACACAUAUAUUAAAAAGAAAUAAAUCUAAAAAAAAAAUUUCAUUUAGUUUAGUGCUAUGGGGGUCUCCGAGACAUGAAAAAGAAAGAAAGCAGGCGCAGAGACUGCUCUUUUCUUUCCCUGGCACUCGGUGUGCAGAGUUGGCACGGAGGGGGUCUAAGCAGAAAGAAGCUAUCAAAACACUAGAGAGACUAGAUAAGGUGACCCAGGGCUGUAAUCCCAGCAUGAGGGAAGCUAAAUCAGGGAGUUAAAGGGGUUCCGGGGUGCUCUUACCUACACAGAAAAUUUGAGGGCAGCCUUGGCUACAUAAGAUCCUAUUUCAAACAAAAAACUAAAACUAAAGUGUUGGGCUGGAGAGAUGGCUCAGCAGGUUAAGAGCACUGAUUGCUCUUUCAAAGGUUCGGAGUUCAAUUCCUAGCAACCACAUGGUGGCUCACAACCAUCUGUAAAGAGCUCUGAUGCCCUCUUCUUGGUGUGUCUGAAGACAGGGACAGUGUACUCACUCACAUACAUAAAAUAAAUGAAUCAUUAAAAAAAAAAGAUACUAAAUCUAAAGUGUUAAGCCAAGAUUUUGGUAUCUCCACGAGACAGGAAUGAACCUAUCAAGGAAGGACCCUAAGAAGUAUUCCCGAAACGAAAGCAAAUCAGAAAUAGAUCAAGCUUUCCUGAACCUAACAGAGCCAACAGCCAGGGCCUCUAAAUUGUCUAUGUGAAAUGUCCAGCAUUCAAACAAUUACCAGGCAAUGCCAUGGAAAAGGAUCAGAUUGUUGGAGAAAUCAAUCCAAAAUCAAUCCAUAAAGAUAAAUGUGAGAGAGAGAGGGUCCAAAUCCUGGACUUGCCAAACAGAACUCUAAGAAAGAAAAUGGGUAAAGUCCAGAAAAACGAAGGCUUACAUUUCAACCAAAAAACAAAACAAAACACACAAAAAAAAGCAUAAUGUUUUUAAAAAUGUAAACAGCAUCCCCAUUACUGAAGUAACUAAAAUUAAGAACUGAAUAGAAGGGCUUGGGAGUAAAGAGGAGAAAGAGAAGAAAUGACUACCAGCCAGGAAGACAGGCCAGUCAAGAACCAGUCAUACUGAAACACAGAACACUCGGAGAGAGUCAGAGGCUCAGCAGGUGCCAUCAAGGCAGCUCCCAUACACACCGGCAUCUGAGAAGGGAAGGAGAAAAUUAACAGGGCAAAGGCAAGAUCUGAAGAGAACAACCCAAGAAUUUUCUAAAGCUGACCCCAAACCUUAUGCCAUGAUUCUUAGAAGGGUCUCCAAACUCCACAGAACACACAGAAGAAAAUCGGUGCCGUGCAUCACAGCAGAGCUAGCCUGAGCAACACGGGCAGAGCUUUUCUUAAAACAGAAACGAGAAAGCCAGAAGAAAUGGAAUCUCAUCCGUGAAGGGCUGAAAGUAAAUUCGGCUAGAAUUUUAUGGCCAGUAAAAAUAGCCUCCCAAUGUUAAAAGUAAGUGAGUGACAUUUUCCAGGAAAAUAUUGAAAGAACUGUGACACCAACAGACGCUAACACAGACACACAAACACAGACUCACAGACACACACACUCUCACAAAUAGAUAUACAGAGACACACACACAGAGACUCACAAAUACACACACACAGACACCACACACACAGACUCACAAAUAUACACACACAAAUUCAUAAAUACACACACAGACACACAGACUCACAGAUAGACACACUCACAGAGACACACACAGAGACACACAUAAACACCACACACACAGACUCACAAAUACACACACAUACAAAUUCAUAAAUACAGACACACAUAGACUCACAGAUAGACACACACUCACAGAGACACACACAGUGACACACACAAACACUACACACACAGACUCACAAAUACACACACACAAAUUCAUAAAUACACACACAGAGACACACACAGACUCACAGAUAGACACAUACACUCACAGAGACACACACAGAGACACACACAAACACACAAAUACACACUCACAAAUACACACACACAGACACACACAAAGAUCAGACACACACACACACAGACUCACAAAUACACAACAGACACACAGACUCACAGAACACACAUGCAGACACACAACAGGCACACACAAACACCACACACACACACCAGACACACAUACUCACAGACACACACACAUACUGCACUCCAGAGAGAAAAAAAGUGAAUCUGAGAAAGAAAAGAAGAACAUCAAAACCUUAAUAUACAGGGGCUAGAGAGACGGCUAAGCAGUUAAAAGAACCAGAGGACCCAAGUUUCACUUCCAGGACCCACAUCAGGCAGCUCACAACUGCCUGUAACUCUGGUUCCAAGGAUUCUGCCGCUCUCUGGCCUCUGGCAGCACCAGGCAUGCACACAGCAGACACAUAAACUCACAUAGGCGCACACACACAUGAAUAAAUUACAACAAAUAACUUUAACCUUAAAUCUGGAGAUCUGUCUACAUUAUUAUCUAUGUAAAGCCGUGUCUUUUUAAAAAUAAUUUAUUUUUAUUUCAUGUGUAUUGGUGUUUUGCCUGCACAAGUGUCUGUGUGAGGCCGUCAGAUCACGGAGGUGGAGACAGUUGUGAGCGGCCAUGUGAGUGCUGGGAACUGAACUCUGGUCCUCUGGAAGGAUAAUCAGUGCUCUUAACCGAUGCGCCAUCUCUCCGGUCCCCAUAAAGCAAUGUCUUAACAUCCAGGGAGACACUCAAAGGUUAAGAUAUCACACAGUUCACAAAAUACUUAAAACAUUUAUUGUUUUGCAUGUCUGUAUGGUUUGGGGAGGAGGCGUGCUAAAGGGUGGCGUUUGGAGGAUGACUUCCUGGGGUCACUUCUUUCUCUUUGCAGCUUUACCUGGGUCCUGGGGGAAUCGAACUCAGGUCACUGAGCUCCUGCAGCAAGACCCUGCCUACUGCAACAUCUCCCAGAGUAUUUACGACACGAACACAAGGUGAAGUCUAAGGCAAAAGAUGCAAAACCAAAUACACACCAAGCCUCCACUGUGCCAAGCCAGGGCAACCAAGAAGUUCUUACUAAAAAUACACUAAGAGGAGCCACCUCAUGUCAUAGAGUUCCAACACAGUCGUGGCCAGUUUUCAUUAUCUCUGUUGGUAGAAAUAUUUUCUUUUUCUUUCCUUUUUUUUUUGUUUUUUGUUUUUCAAGACAGGGUUUCUCUGUGUAGCCCUGGCUGUCCUGGAACUCACUUUGUAGAUCAGGCUGGCCUCGAACUCAGAAAUCUGCCUGUCUCUGCCUCCUAAGUGCUGGGAUUAAAGGCGUGCACCACCACUGCCUGGCGAAAUAUUUUUCAAUAUUUUAUUUCAUAUAAAACAAAUCUAGUAUUUCUUACACUGUAAGGAAUGACUGUAUUUUUUGCCUUCUUACAGAAGGAAGGAAGGAAGGAAGGAAGGAAGGAAGGAAGGAAGGAAGGAAGGAAGGAGGAAGAGGAGGAGGAGGAGAAGGAGAAGACGACGACAACAAUGACGACGACGACAUUUUUAAAAAAUUGAGCCCUGGCUCUAUAAUCCCUCUAUUAGGUAUUAAUAACACUAACUCUUAAGAGUCAAAAAUGAUGUGACAGGGACAUGGUUGAGAGAUGGCUCAAUGGUUAACAGCACUCCUUGCAGUUGCUGGACCCAAGUUUGAUUCCCAGCACCCGUAAGACAGCUCACCUGCAACAUCAGCUCCAGGAGGGCUGGAGAACCAGUGCCCUCCUCUGCCCUCCAAGAGCACUACAUACAUGUGGUGCUCAUACAUGCAGGCAAAAUAUUCAUACACAUUAAAUAAAAAUAAAAUAAACCAGUGUCCACCCAUAUGUACAUUUACACACAUACGCACCUUGUCUCAAAAACAAAAAACAAAAAAAAAAAACCAAAGAGUAAAUCUUGGAAAUGUUUACUCUCUUUAGUUCUAGCAAUUUAUCAAGAAUAAUAGUAAUAAUAAUAAUAAUAAUAAUAAUAAUAAUCUGAGAUGUGUUCAAAGAUUUGUGUGUUUUACAUUCAUUAAAGUAUUUGCAAUAGUUAGAAAUAAGUAAGCAAUAUUUUAAUAACCAGAGAUAAACUAAUAAUGCUAACUGAUUAAAUUGUACCCAGUACAUAAUAAGUAUAUCUGAAAAGAUAUUAAGUAUUUAAGAGAAAAAGUUUCAAAGAAGACUUUCUGAGAAAGAUGGUAAAUCACCUGCACAGUAGCCCAGUUCUAGUGCUGACCUCAGGGUCAGGCAGUCAUGCGCACGGCAGGUGUUGAACAAGCAUUUUCUCUGUUCGUCUCACAAGCCUAAAGGUCAGCGUUAUUUCCAGCGGCUAAAGGAGUUUGGGUUCAAGUGGUAGUGUUGCUCUCCAUGCCUGAGGAUAGGCAUUGCCAAAACAUACGUAUUAUACAAAACAACUAUAGGGUUGGUCUCCAGAUGUGUGUGUGUGUGUGUGUACAUAUACAUGUUUAUGUUCGUAUUUAUAUAUGUGUAUAUGUACAACAUGUUAAUACAUGUUACUAUAUAUGUGUAUAUACAUGUAUAUAUGUGUAUGUUUACAUAUAUGUAUUAUGUGUAUAUAUACACCAUAUUACAUAUACAUAUAUGUGUAUAUAUUUAUGCGUGUGUAUACACAUAUAUGUAUAUAUACCUUAUAUACAUGUGUGUGUAUAUGUGCAUAUAUAAAUACACACACACACAGAGUUUUGUGUGUACAGAGUUUUUUAUAUUCCAGCCUGGCCCGAAGCUGAAUGUGUAGCUCAGGAUGACCUUGACCUUCCAAGGGCUGGGAAUAUGGGCCUCAUGACCGUGUGCUGCUGGGCUGGAACUCAGGCUGUCCUGCUUGCUGUAAGCCCUCUACUCCCUGAGCUGCAGCCCCAGCCCCAGAUUUAAAAUCUCAGUCAUCAGCCGGUCAGACUGCAUGAUCUGUCAGGAAAUGCUGAAAGACGUGAGCCCACAAAAAUGAGUCGCUGCUCCAUCAGACUCUUGAAAAUCGCCAUAUGCGGUUUACAGACUCCUACUACCAAAAAACGGUCUAUGAAGUACUUUUACUUAUCAUUACAUAAAUUCAGCCACAAAAACAACUUUACUGAAGCUUUAAAUUGUCUCCUCUGGCCUUUAAAAACAACAGGCAAAAAAUAAAAAACGAGGAAAAUGGGAAGAUGGGGAGGAGACUUGCUGGGAAGAAGAGGAGGAUGCGAAGGAGAAAGAAUUUAGGAGAGAAGGGAAUGGGGUAAAAUGGUAGAAAUAUAGUAUACACGUGUGUGAAAUGGUCAAAGGUAGCCUUUACUUUUUUAAGAGAGCUAGCUGAGCAGGUAAACACACGGCCCAGACAGAACACAAUCGCCGUUUGAUCCCCAGGACCCGCGUGGUGGAAAAAGAGAAUGAAGUGGGCUGUCCUCUGCCCUCCAUACAUUCAUGGCAGCACCCCCACACACACACACACACGUACACACAAAUAAAAUAAAUAUUAAAAAAAAUUAGUUACUAGCUCACACCAGAAACAAGGUCACCUUGAGUUAAGAGCUCCUGGGAGGUUUAGGCAGGUGGACCUCAGAGAACUCAAGGCAGCCUGGACUCCACUCCAAGGCAAGGUCCCCACUCACAAUACCGAAAGAAGAGCGAUGGAGAGACUGCAGGCCCAUUAGAUCAGAGCACUGGACACUCCUACAGAGGACAGGGUUUCCAGUACCCAUGUCAGAGGGCUCAAGACUAUUUGUAACUCUAGUUCCAGGGGAUCCAGACACACCUUUUUGGCCUCUGUGGACACGUGAGAAACAUAUGCAUGCAGGCAAAGGCAUUCAUAGCCACAAAACAAAAAAAAAAAAAAAAGAAACAAAUCUCUUUUUUUAAAAAAUGAAAAGCAGUAAGAAGUCAUUAUAUAAUAAAUCUUAAUUACAACAUUCUGGGCAAAAGAGCAAGACGGGCCUACAGCUUAAUCUAGAAUUACCCAAGACUUUCAGUGUUUGGGUCCAUUUCCACAGAUUGGCUCAUACAGUCCCAAUUUCAUCUUGAGCCAUCAGCUAAUCUUCAAGCCCCACCAGAGAGAACGUGAUCAUUUCAGGGAAACCAGAAGUUUACAAAGUCAAAGUGAAUUCCCCAAGUCCUUUAUUUCCUGGGAAUGUCUUUCUACCUCCAACCUAGACAUCCAAUAUCGUCGCCCCCCCCCCCCCAAUCCUACAACUAAUCAGGACAGACCCACGAGCAUGCUCAGAUCCAAACAGUUUUUGGAAGUUAGCAGAUUUUUAACAUCCCCACGCCAUGCCCACAGCCUAGGCCCAGCCCUGAGCGUCAACACAGAGCCUUGUGAAAGCAGAGAAUGUUUAUGCAAAGGGAAAAGUUCUUUAGAAUUCUUGGAGCAUUUUUGCAUCUUUUCUCUCAUCUUAUUCUCAAAAAGAGACUGGGGAUGUAGCUCAGUUGGUCCGCUUGCCUGACAUGCACAAGACCCUGGGUUUGAUCCCCCAGCUCCACAUAACCAGGGUGUGGUGGUGCACCUCUAUUAUCCUAGCCUGGGGGAGGAUGAGGACAGCGACCAGAAGCUCAAGGUCACCUUUGUCCACAUAGCAUCAAGGCUAGCCUGGGCUUCAAGGCUAGCCUGGAGACCCUGUCUCCAAACAAAGAAAUAACAAAUUCAUUCAGGAAAUCUGAGGCUGAGGAAAAGAAGGUUCAGAGGUGUCAAACUGCCCAAGAACAGUAUUGAGGGCCAGUAUGGUACCCUAUCCAUCCGUGUCCGUCACAUGCCAGGAUUUAUAUUAACAAACCUGAGGCCUCGCUGACUUACAGGCUAGUCAGAGGCAACAUGAAAAAGUGGGGAAAGCACCUGUUUGUACAGUCAAGUCUGGGUUUCUGGAUUUGAAUCUCUGCCCUACUAUUCACCAGCCAGGAGGCCUAAAGCAAUCUCCUAAACCCCUUUGUGUCCCCAUUUCCCCAUCUGUGUAAUGGGUAGAGGAACACCGCCAUACUUGUGGUCAAAUGAGGAUGAUGAGCUUGUGAGUGGUCCUUGCAUUUUCAAGUGACUCCUGUCUCCAAACGCUCACAAGUGAGGCUGAUGUGGCCUAGUGAGCUGCCUUGUCUUCUAAAGAAGGAAAGGACCCUCUUGUGCCAACUCAGCCUCUACAUCUGGCACCCUGGGUCCUCUUAAUAGCUCCCGAGAGCCGCCUGCAUGGGAUCUCUUUCUUCUCAGGCUCUCUUUUAACACUGUGCACAGGCUUUUAAAUUCAAGUCCCCUAAAGUGUCCUCUGGAAGGACGCCGAGAGGGUUGAAGAGCCCUGGGGUGGCUGGGUGCCCAGCACUGCCUCCUCGGCCGCUGCUCACACUCCAUCCAGCACGGGGUUUCAGUCUGUGAUGUCAGAGUUCGAGGCACACCCAGAGGGGAAGCAGGAAUGAGCUGAACACAGAAGGAACCGCAGGGGACAGAGGCCUGCCGCCCACGGAGCAAGGGCAAGAGACUGGGGCCUCAGAGAGAAUGGGAGUAAGGGGAAGAAGCGGAAAGGGGAAGCCCCUCAGCAGCACCUCUCUUCAGCCUCCGCCAUGGAUCAGAAACCCUUCGACUCUCCAAUGAAAGACUUUGGUCGGCAAGCAUCCCCAACGUCUACCUACAGCUCUCUGCCAGCAUCCAGGGUAUCUGCGGGUGUUCUCCUCCGUUCUCAGAAUCUAUGGUCAGCUCAGAACAAGUGACUCCUAAAAUCCA